RNAcentral lists this ribosomal RNA (288 nucleotides) under uncultured bacterium. Its description in RNAcentral is "partial 16S ribosomal RNA". It matches the Rfam family "Bacterial small subunit ribosomal RNA", at positions 337 to 643 of the family's 1533-position model. The record is from RNAcentral.
GCCUACGGGAGGCAGCAGUGGGGAAUAUUGCACAAUGGGGGAAACCCUGAUGCAGCGACGCCGCGUGAGUGAAGAAGUAUUUCGGUAUGUAAAGCUCUAUCAGCAGGGAAGAAAAUGACGGUACCUGACUAAGAAGCCCCGGCUAACUACGUGCCAGCAGCCGCGGUAAUACGGAGGAUGCGAGCGUUAUCCGGAUUUAUUGGGUUUAAAGGGUGCGUAGGCGGACUGUUAAGUCAGCGGUAAAAGCCCGGGGCUCAACCCCGGCGAGCCGUUGAAACUGGCUGUCUU